RNAcentral lists this ribosomal RNA (500 nucleotides) under uncultured bacterium. RNAcentral describes it as "partial 16S ribosomal RNA". It matches the Rfam family "Bacterial small subunit ribosomal RNA", at positions 30 to 523 of the family's 1533-position model. The record is from RNAcentral.
AUUGAACGCUGGCGGCAGGCCUAACACAUGCAAGUCGAGCGGAUGACGGGAGCUUGCUCCUUGAUUCAGAGGCGGACGGGAGAGUAAUGCCUAGGAAUCUGCAUGGUAGUGGGGGACAACGUUUCGCAAGGAACGCUAAUACCGCAUACGUCCUACGGGAGAAAGCAGGGGCCCUUCGGGCCUUGGGCUAUCAGAUGAGCCGGGGUCGGAUUAGCUAGUUGGUGGGGUAAUGGCUCACCAAGGGGAUGAUCCGUAACUGGUCUGAGAUGAUGCUCAGGGAAACUGGAACAGAGACGCGGUGCAGACCCCUACGGGAGGCAGCGGUGGGGAAUAUUGGAGAAUGGGCGAAAGUCUGAUCAAGCCAUGCCGCGUGUGUGAAGAAGGUCUUCGGAUUGUAAAGCGCUUUAAGUUGGGAGGAAGGGCAGUAAGUUAAUACCUUGCUGUUUUGACGUUACCGGCAGAAUAAGCACCGGCUAACUCUGUGCCAGCCGCCGCCGUAA